This 76-nucleotide transfer RNA is filed under the name Oscillospiraceae bacterium. RNAcentral describes it as "tRNA-Lys". It matches the Rfam family "tRNA". From Rfam's summary of the family: Transfer RNA (tRNA) molecules are approximately 80 nucleotides in length. The record is from RNAcentral. Lineage: Bacteria; Bacillati; Bacillota; Clostridia; Eubacteriales; Oscillospiraceae.
GCAGCUUUAGCUCAGUUGGUAGAGCAACUGACUCUUAAUCAGUGGGUCCAGGGUUCGAGUCCCUGAAGCUGUACCA